GUCUAACACAUGUCAAUAUCUAAGCGGUAGAAGGUAGCUUGCUACCGGUAUCAGCGGCGGACGGGUGAGUAAUGCUUAGGAAUCUGCCUAUUAGUGGGGGACAACGUUCCGAAAGGGGCGCUAAUACCGCAUACGUCCUACGGGAGAAAGCAGGGGACCUUCGGGCCUUGCGCUAAUAGAUGAGCCUAAGUCGGAUUAGCUAGUUGGUAGGGUAAAGGCCUACCAAGGCGACGAUCUGUAGCGGGUCUGAGAAGAUGAUCCGCCACACUGGGACUGAGACACGGCCCAGACUCCUACGGGAGGCAGCAGUGGGGAAUAUUGGACAAUGGGGGGAACCCUGAUCCAGCCAUGCCGCGUGUGUGAAGAAGGCCUUUUGGUUGUAAAGCACUUUAAGCGAGGAGGAGGCUACCUAGAUUAAUACUUUAGGAUAGUGGACGUUACUCGCAGAAUAAGCACCGGCUAACUCUGUGCCAGCAGCCGCGGUAAUACAGAGGGUGCGAGCGUUAAUCGGAUUUACUGGGCGUAAAGCGUGCGUAGGCGGCCAAUUAAGUCAAAUGUGAAAUCCCCGAGCUUAACUUGGGAAUUGCAUUCGAUACUGGUUGGCUAGAGUAUGGGAGAGGAUGGUAGAAUUCCAGGUGUAGCGGUGAAAUGCGU
This 654-nucleotide ribosomal RNA is filed under the name uncultured Gammaproteobacteria bacterium. RNAcentral describes it as "bacterial SSU rRNA". It matches the Rfam family "Bacterial small subunit ribosomal RNA", at positions 46 to 691 of the family's 1533-position model. The record is from RNAcentral. Lineage: Bacteria; Pseudomonadati; Pseudomonadota; Gammaproteobacteria.